This 765-nucleotide ribosomal RNA is filed under the name Lactifluus sp. G3144. RNAcentral's name for it is "eukaryotic LSU rRNA". It matches the Rfam family "Eukaryotic large subunit ribosomal RNA", at positions 165 to 899 of the family's 3401-position model. Lineage: Eukaryota; Fungi; Basidiomycota; Agaricomycetes; Russulales; Russulaceae. The record is from RNAcentral.
CCGCGCCGGACCGUGCACAAGUCUCCUGGAAUGGAGUGUCAUAGAGGGUGAGAAUCCCGUCUUUGGCAUGGAAACCCCGGUGCUUCUGUGAUGCGCUCUCAAAGAGUCGAGUUGUUUGGGAAUGCAGCUCAAAAUGGGUGGUGAACUCCAUCUAAAGCUAAAUAUUGGCGAGAGACCGAUAGCGAACAAGUACCGUGAGGGAAAGAUGAAAAGCACUUUGGAAAGAGAGUGAAACAGUACGUGAAAUUGUUGAAAGGGAAACGCUUCAAGUCAGUCGCGUCGAUCGAGACUCAGCCUCGCCUCGGCUUGGUGUACUUCUCGACCGACGGGCCAGCAUCAAUUUUGUCCCUCAGAUAAUGGCAAGGGAAACGUGGCACCCUCACCGGUGUGUUAUAGUCUCCUGUCACAUGUGAGGGGUGGGAUUGAGGAACUCAGCACGCACCUUUUUAGGUGUCGGGGCCCAAGGCCCACGUUACGUGCUUAGGAUGUUGGCGUAAUGGCUUUAAACGACCCGUCUUGAAACACGGACCAAGGAGUCUAACAUGCCCGCGAGUGUUCGGGUGGAAAACCCGUCCGCGUAAUGAAAGUAAAAGUUGGGACCUCCGUCGUGGAGGGCACCGACGCCCGGACCAGACCUUCUGUGACGGAUCUGCGGUAGAGCGUGCAUGUUGGGACCCGAAAGAUGGUGAACUAUGCCUGAAUAGGGGUGAAGCCAGAGGAAACUCCUUGGUGGAGGCUCGUAAGCCGAUUCUUGACGUGCAAAUC